This is a long non-coding RNA of Bufo bufo (common toad), 2200 nucleotides long. RefSeq lists it as uncharacterized. NCBI's taxonomy places the organism in Eukaryota, Metazoa, Chordata, Amphibia, Anura, Bufonidae. The record is from RefSeq and is a predicted model, not a curated record. The transcript has 4 exons.
UGCUUUUAUUGUCUAGCAACCCAUGUCCUCGGCUCUAUACCCAAAAUCCCGGUGGCAGGUUCCCUUUAAGGCUGCCAUACAUGUUCAGUAGCUGUCAGGGUUGCAGUCAUUCAGCAAACAGCUAUCUGAGUUUUUCGAUCCUACUUUCCCCUGAUAUCUGUCGGGAGAGUUAGGAGCCCCCCAUACAUUCUAGACAGGCAAACUAAUGUGAGGGGCGGGGGGGGGGGGGCUUUUAGGUUGUGUUAACAUUGUAGAUGGAACAAGCCACUUGCAUGACCAUAGACUGCUCAAUUUUGAAGUCUAAUGUGUUAACAUUAAAAUCGUGCUUGUUUGUGGGGCUUUUGUCUGGAUGCGUCCACUGCAGAUUUGGGGUACUACCAUUUGGCAAACUGAUAAGUUUUGCCUCUGUCAGGUAUGGAUGUGGAAUCCUAAGGCUGUAGUGAAGUCUGCCUAUACUUCCCUUGAAAUGGUCUAAUACUGUCCUGGGGUCUAAGGAGCUGAAAGGUCCUUAAAGUCUGCAGUUACAUCUCCGGUGAACUGUUCUGGCAGAAAAGUAGUUCACCGCUGGAUCCCUAAUAACUGUAGUGAGGUUCGGCGGUGAUCUCUCAUACGCCAGCUCAUCUGACAGAUGUGAACGCAGCCUAAGUGCAGCAAAGCGACACCUUUUGUUUGUAGAUGUACUAUGUGGUUUAUGGAGUUUAGACUAAUGGUAGUUUUAAUAUGUAGAGCCGCGAUUUACAAAAGUGCAGGGUUUAUAUAAUUUUUUUUUAACUUGUAGACUGUUCAGUUGCUAAACUUAAGACCAAUUUGGAGAACUUUGUUCCUAGAACAGUUUAGAGUUGAGUCAAUGUGAGUUCAUUACAAAUGUAAUAAAACAAAUUGCACUUUAGUAAAUCUAGGUCCAAUGUUCCAGAAUACAUGUCCAAAAUGAGAACUUGGCUUUUCUGGUACUUCAAUAUUGAUGGCUCAUCCUUGGCUUAGGCGAUCUGACUGCUAUGGGUCUGACCCCAGUCAGUACAAUGGAGGGACUGUGGGUGUGUCCCCUGUACAAGCACACUGGCUCCAUUGUACUGACAUCUGUUCCAGUUACUACGGCUCCAUUCCAUUCGAGUAAAUGGCACUAGGCUGUUUGUCAAUCCCAUCAGUCAGCCAUUGAUGGUUUAUCAUAAGGGUGGGCCAGCAAUAUUUUGGUUGGUGAAAAUCCCUUUGCAGUGUCUUGCUUACUAGCUCGCACUUUAAGGGUAUGUUCCCACGUGGUGGGUCAGUCUUCUGCUAAUUUUCCGUAGCGUAUCUGGCGAAGUACCGCAGUUGCAAAAUGUGCGGAUUUUGUUGCAGAACUGCUGUAGAUUUCACCUUCUGCAUUGCAAACUGAAAUAUAUGGCAGAUAAUCCGCCACAUUGACAUGCUGCUGAUUCAGAAUCUGCCCCACAUGCAGAAUUAUGUGGAUUCUGGUGCAGACAGACUCCGCAGAGAAUAAAUGAGAUUUUGUAAAAUCUCAAUCCCCUUUGUUGACAACGCUACGUGGGAGUGUGCCCUCAACAGGCUGCUCUCAAUUUAGUUCACCGUUUGGAGUAAAGCAUUAUAUUCUGUACUAGAAAAUUCUAAGCUGUCCUGCUUUAUAGACCAGUGGAUUACAUGAGACCCUUCUAGCACAGCUCAUCUCUCGCCAUUACGGUGUGGACUCAGUCAGCAUUAUUAAAGGAGUUACAGCAGGAACAAGAGCUGCAAGUUUCCAAGAAGUGAAUGCAGGAUUUACUAUGCUGAUAGUGAGGAGCUCCCCCCAAGACUAGUACAGCUGAAAUAACGAAGACAGUCUAGGAAGAGUUCAACAUCAUUUGGAGCCUACUAGAAUGAUAGCUACUGUACUACAGGUGUGACAAAAAGCCAAUAGGUCUAGCAGUGAGACCUGAAAGCGAGGGCCAUAAGAAUAGGUGUGGAAUGGCUAAAUGAAGGCAAAAUUGGGUUCUCUGGGCUCCAUUUACAGGCUAAGCAAGUGCCUUAUACCAUGGAAACGCCCUGGGACCCUAGAGGAGCAUCUGGAUCUCUUCAGCUGAACAGUGUUUUAAGAGACUGAAUUUUACACGGCUAGAAUGGGGCGAAAGAAGAAACUAAUUCAUUGUAUUUGGAAGCUGGAUGUAGAUUGAUUUAUGCCUUUGGUUCUCAACUGUAAAUCCAGAAAUAAAUUCUUUUUUAUAUCAAA